GGAAGGAUCAUUACCGAACUGUCAACAGGAGUUGUUGCUGGUCCUCAUGUGGGGGCAUGUGCACGCUCUGUUUACACAUCCACUCACACCUGUGCACUCGCCGUAGUUCUAUGGUCUGGGAGACCCUGUCUUCCACCUGUAGGCCUACUUUUUUACAUACACGCUGUAACAAAGUCUUAUGGAAUGUGUUCUGCGUUUAACGCAAUACAGUACAACUUUCAGCAACGGAUCUCUUGGCUCUCGCAUCGAUGAAGAACGCAGCGAAAUGCGAUAAGUAAUGUGAAUUGCAGAAUUCAGUGAAUCAUCGAAUCUUUGAACGCACCUUGCGCCCCUUGGCUAUUCCAAAGGGCAUGCCUGUUUGAGUACCGUGAACACCUCAACUCUCAUGGCUUUGCCGUGAUGAGCUUGGACUUUGGGGGUUUUGCUGGCCUUGAGGUCGGCUCCUCUCAAAUGGAUCAGCUUGCCAGUGUUUGGUGGCGUUGCAGGUGUGAUAACUAUCUACGCUUGCAGCCGUCUGCCAGGUAACCCUCAGGGAUGGGGGUUCGCUGGAGCUUACAAAUGUCCUUCCCCAGUGAGGACAGCUUUGAACGUUCGAUCUCAAAUCAGGUAGGACUACCCGCUGAACUUAAGCAUAUCAAUAAGCGGAGGAAAAGAAACUAACAAGGAUUCCCCUAGUAACUGCGAGUGAAGCGGGAUGAGCUCAAAUUUAAAAUCUGGCGUCCUCUGGCCGUCC
Molecule: ribosomal RNA, 733 nt
Filed under: uncultured fungus
Lineage: Eukaryota; Fungi
Description: eukaryotic LSU rRNA
Rfam family: 5.8S ribosomal RNA (bases 214-368)
Source: RNAcentral